UCGUAACAAGGUUCCGUAGGUGAACCUGCGGAAGGAUCAUAA
This 42-nucleotide ribosomal RNA is filed under the name Tulasnella sp. 2 MM-2016. Its description in RNAcentral is "partial 18S ribosomal RNA". Lineage: Eukaryota; Fungi; Basidiomycota; Agaricomycetes; Cantharellales; Tulasnellaceae. The record is from RNAcentral.